Molecule: long non-coding RNA, 4668 nt
Filed under: Sus scrofa (pig)
Lineage: Eukaryota; Metazoa; Chordata; Mammalia; Artiodactyla; Suidae
Description: lncRNA (ENSSSCG00035068943.1)
Source: RNAcentral
GCAUUUGGAGUUCCCAGGCCAAGGAUCAGACCUGAGCUGCAAUUGCAACCUACCCCUUUAACCCACUGGGCUGGGGAUCAAACCUGUGUCUGGGUGCUGCAGAGAUACACCAUAGCGAGAAUUCUAUUGUUAGAUUUUCCAUAGUUAACUUUCUUUAAAAGUGUUGUUCAUGUUAUGGAAUUAGCUUAUAUAGACUUCUGGGCACUAAAUUUGUGAAUAGGAUCCUUUUAAACUGAACCAUUGAUAUAGAUUUGGUUAUGCACAAACCUAAGAUAGGAGUCUUUGGUUGAUUUUUAUAGGGUAAGAUUCUGUUUCUCCUUAUUCCACCUCAGACAACUUUCUGAAAAUACACCAUUUGCUUUUAACUAAGUUUCCAUUAUAGUGUAAUAGUGUUUAUCAUGAGGGUCACAGUUCCUCAGAAGGCCAAAUAGUGUAAAAUGUCACAGAAGAGUAAACGAGGGUCUAAAAAGUGUCCACAGAUAUUGGCAAUUUAGAUCAUCCAUGUAGUUGUAAUGCUGUGUUAUCUGAUAUAAAAGAAGAAUCUUUACUUGCUCCCUGGUUGAGUAACAAACCACAAUUAUAUGUGUUUCAUGUCACUUUGAACUUUAAUGAAAAAGUAUUAAGAUUCAGAGUUUGCUAUUUCAGUGUUCUGUACACAGUACAUUUUAGAACCCUUAUUAAACAGAAAAACAUCAGUACUUAGAUACAGGGCAUGGGUAAAUCAGAGCAGUAGUAACACUGUUACCAAAAAUGAUGGCAGAAGGAGCUGACUAAACUAAAAUACAUAGGCAGAUGGAAGCAUACUUUCCAAAUUUUUAAAAACAAAUUUACACACUAUUUAAUGAGACUAGGUUAAUUGUCAAUGAGAACAAGAAUCCAGUCUGCCUUUAAUUUCUUUUUUUAGUAACUGAAACUCAGAAUAAAUAUGUUCCAGGUAAAUCUAUAUGUUUUAUUUACUUAAUAAAUACAUUGAGUACCUACUGUGAACCAGGUACUGGGGAUACACAGAUACAAAAUCUACAGUAGAACAGAUCCCUGCCCUUAAUGAGAUGUAUAUUCAAAUGGAAAUACAUUUGUCUAUCAUAAUAAUAGAAAAAUAUAAGGAGCAGUAUCUAUGGCCAUUUGGGUAGUUUUCAAACUUGAGUUCCUCAGCAUCUACCCUUGUUCUGGGACCACUAGUGGUAUUGUGGUUGUGUGUGUUUUAAGCCAUUUCCCAAUGAUUUUUGUUAUAACUGUACCUGCAUUUAAAAAAAAAUUGUAAUAGUUUAGUCCUGAUAGAGCAUCACCAACUAUACCAUCUGGCUAUACAGAGUCAUUAGAUUUCUCCACAAGAUAGAUGUCACUUUUUUUUUUUUUUUUUUUGUCUUUUGUCUUUUUUGUGUUGUUGUUGUUGUUGUUGUUGCUAUUUCUUGGGCCGCUCCCGCGGCAUAUGGAGGUUCCCAGGCUAGGGGUUGAAUCGGAGCUGUAGCCACCGGCCUACGCCAGAGCCACAGCAACGCGGGAUCCGAGCCGCGUCUGCGACCUACGCCACAGCUCACGGCAACACCAGAUCGUUAACCCACUGAGCAAGGGAAGGGACCGAACCCGCAACCUCAUGGUUCCUAGUCGGAUUCGUUAACCACUGCGCCACGACGGGAACUCCAGAUGUCACAUUUUGUGAUGUACAUUUUCAAAGUUGUGAGAGUUCAAAGAAGCAAGAGUGUACUGUGAUUAGGGUGUUGAGUUGGCCUCCUAGAAAGUGCCUGUCUAGAGCGGAAGUGUCGGGAUCUUGUAAUGUUACAAGCAAUUGAGAGCCAAUUAUUGGGACUGAGUACAGGAGAGAGAGUCAGGUAUUUAUCCUGUCUUUACAAACUACACCUCAGGAUAACUGGUUGUGAGGGAGAUUUUCUCAUUAUAAAGUAAUUCCAUGCAUAAAAAAACGGAUGGUAUGAUAGAAAUAGGACAUCAGCGUUGUGUAGCAGCUAAAGAAAUAAUCAAGCUAAGCCUCCACAGUGGCUGUUUAAACUGUUAAGUGAGUGCUGGUGGGGAGCGAUUUAAUGCAUGGAUCUGGUUAUAACGCCUGAAUCCACUGAUCAGUCUUAAUAGUACAAAAACAGACAAGUAAGGUUCUGUGCCUCCUGAGGUCCUGCCUUAGAAACGCAGAACACCAUCUGCGAAGUUCAAAUAAUUGAACUUUAUUCUCCUCAAACUUUUUUUUUUUUUUUUUAGGGCCACACCCUCAGAAUAUGGAAGUUCCCAGGGUAGGGGUCAAAUCGGAGCUGUAGUUGCCAGCCUACACCUUAGAAACGCAGGAUCCGAGGUACACUGCAGCUCACGGCAACACCGGAUCCCUGACCCACCGAGGGGGACCAUGCAUCAAACCUGCAUCCUCCUGGAUACUCUUCAGGUUUUUUACCACUAAGCCGUGAUGGGAACUCCUCCUCAAACUUUUGAUCUAACCACCAGUUAUAAGAAAUGUAAGAUGCAAAGGAACAUGAUAAACUACCACAGGAUGCAACUGGCAAAAUCCACACUGGAAAAUUCCAAAAUGACUUGAUCUUUUUAAAAAAUGUAAACUGCAAGGAAAAAGACGGAAUAUUGAGUAUAGUUCCCUGUGCUAACCCCAAACUCCCACUCUGUCCCCUUCCCCCUUGACAACCACAAGUCUAUUCUCUAUCUCUGUGAGUCUCUUUCUCUUCUGUAUAUAGGUUUAUUGUACUAUAUUUUAGAUUCCACAUACAAGUGAUAUCAUACGGUAUUUGUCUUUCUUUUUUGUUUUUUAGGGCCGUACUAGCGGCAUAUGGAAGUUCUCAGGCUAGGGGUCAAAUUGGAGUUAUAACCGAUGGCCUAUGCUGCAGCCACAGCAAUGCAGGAUCCGAGCCUUGUCUGUGAACUACACCACAGCUCACAGCAAUGCCAGAUUUCCAGACCCACUGAGUGAGGCCAGGGAUCGAACCUGCAUACUCAUAGAUACUUGUCGGAUACGUCUCAGCUGAGCCAUGACAGGAACUCCAUUCUUUUUCAUGGCUGAGUAGUAUUUGAUUCUGUGUACACGUGUACACACACAUAUAUGUAUACCGUAUUUUCUGUGUCCAUUCAUCUGUUCAUGGACAUUCAGGUUAUUUCCGUGUCUUGCAUAUAUUGUAAACAGUGCUGCAAUGAAUGUAGGUGUGCAUGUGUCCUUUCGAAUUACAGUUUUGUCUGGGUAUAUGCCCAGGGUAGGAUUGCUGGAUCAUAUGGCAACUCUUGUUUUUAGUUUUUGAGAAACCUUCAUGCUAUUUUCCAUAGUGGCUGCACCAGUUUACAUUCUCACCAAGAGUAUAAGAUGCUUCCCUUUUCUCCAACUUAUCAUGUAUAGACUUUUUAAUAAUGGCUAUUCUGACCGGUGUGAGGUGGUACCUCAUUGUAGUUUUGAUUUAAAAAAUUACAGCUCUUGUAAUAAUUCACUAUAGCUUUCUGAUAUACAUACAGCGUAAGAAAUAGCAUGAUUAUUAACAUGUCACAUUAAAACCAACAAGAGCUUAUAUAUCAGCAAGAUGUGGAGAAUAAUGAUCUUUAUAUACUUUCUCUUUUUCUCUGGUGCUUCUCUUCUGGUCCCUCUGUAUCCACACAGACUUUUUUCUUUAUAGUUGAAGGAAAAACCUUUGUGAAUUAAGAGCUUUAUCUUCAAAUGUUCCAUAUGAAGACAUGACUGGUGUCAAUAUCUGAUUCCUUCAUACCUGUAACUGAAAACUCUCUGAUUAGCACCUCAGAUGUUCUGUGCUGAGAUCAUUACUUGGUGGACUCUUGAAGGUGAUUUCCAGCCUCACUCUCAUGUCUUUUUCUUAAUUAAUAGCUCACCAAUUAUGACUUUUAUUUUUCUGUAUCAUUCAUCUUAUUAGCUCAAGUAUCACCUUGUAUAUUCAGUCUAUUCUGUUUGCUUUUUAAAAAUUGGGAUAUACUUGACAUUCGUUUCAGGUGUUCAACAAAAUGAUUUGAUAUUUGUAUGUACUGUGAAAUGAUCACCACAGUAACUCUAGGUAACAUCCAUCACCAUUUAUAAAUUUUUUUCGUGCGAUGAGGACUUUCAGUAUCUACUCUUAGCAACUGUCAAAUGUGCAGUAUAGUAUUAUUAACUGCAGUCAACAUGCUGAACAUUACAUCUUCAUGAUCGCUUUACUUUAUAAUUGGAAGUUUGUACUUUUUGACCCCUUCACCCAUUUUGCCAUCCUCCCACCUCCUGCCCCUGGCAACCGCUAGUCUGUUCUCUGAAUCUGUGACUUAGUUUUUGUCUUUUUUUUUAAUUUAGAUUUUACAUAUAAGUGAGAUCAUGUGGUAUUUAUCUUUCUCUGUUUUAUUUUACUUAACAUAAUGGCCUCAAGGUCCAUCCGUGUUGUUACACAUGGCAAGAUUACAUUCUUUUUUAUGGCUGAAUCAUAUUCCAUUAUAUAUAUACAUCACCUAUUUAUCCAUACAUCAGUCUUGAGUUCCCAUUGUAGCUCAGCGGAAAUGAAUCUGACUAGCAACCAUGAGGACGCAGGUUCGAUCCUUGGCUUCACUCAAUGGGUUAAGGAUCCGACAUUGCUGUGAGCUGUGGUGUCGAUCGAAGACACAGCUCGGAUCUGAUGUUGCUGUGGCUGUGGUGUAGGCUGGUGGCUGUAGGCCUGAUUUGACCCUUAGCCUGGGAACCUCCAUAUGCUGCAAUUGCGG